RNAcentral lists this non-coding RNA (45 nucleotides) under Schistosoma mansoni. The record is from RNAcentral. Lineage: Eukaryota; Metazoa; Platyhelminthes; Trematoda; Strigeidida; Schistosomatidae.
AUCUAAUUGACGAGUCCGAAAUAGAACGAAACCUGCGUCCUGUAU